AGCAGCCACGGUAAUUCCAGCUCCAAUAGCGUAUAUUAAAGUUGUUGCAGUUAAAAAGCUCGUAGUUGAAUUUCGGGGUCUGUCCAUUGGUCGGGCUUCACGGUCCGUACUGGUGUGAUGGGUUCCUACCUUCUGAAUAACCAGCAUGCCAUUUAGUUGGUGACGCCGGGGAAGCAGAGCUAUUACCUUGAAAAAAUUAGAGUGCUUAAAGCAGGCUAGUGCUUGAAUAGAUUAGCAUGGAAUAAUAAAAUAGGACGGCAUGGUUCUAUUUUGUUGGUUUCUAGGAUCACCGUAAUGAUUAAUAGGGAUAGUUGGGGGCAUUAGUAUUCAAUUGUCAGAGGUGAAAUUCUUGGAUUUUAUUGAAGACUAACUUCUGCGAAAGCAUUUGCCAAGGAUGUUUUCAUUAAUCAAGAACGAAAGUUAGGGGAUCGAAGACGAUCAGAUACCGUCGUAGUCUUAACCAUAAACUAUGCCGACUAGGGAUCGGACGAUGUUAAUUUUUUUAAUGUACUCGUUCGCG
RNAcentral lists this ribosomal RNA (520 nucleotides) under uncultured Glomus. RNAcentral describes it as "SSU rRNA". It matches the Rfam family "Eukaryotic small subunit ribosomal RNA", at positions 569 to 1084 of the family's 1831-position model. The record is from RNAcentral. Lineage: Eukaryota; Fungi; Glomeromycota; Glomeromycetes; Glomerales; Glomeraceae.